CAUGCGUAGAUCCGACCAUGCCGCCGGCCUAUACGACGUCAGACGCCUCAUAAAUGCCAAGAGAUCCGGACGUCUAGUCGGCGUCAGAAGUCACGUCGGCGUCAGGUGUCAGACGUCACGUCUUGUCGUCGUCAGGCGUUACGUCGGUGUCAGAAGAUCGGGCGUCGGACGAUACGGCGUCAAACGACCGGAUAUUCGACGCCGAUCACGGGAGAGUGGGCCGCU
This 225-nucleotide long non-coding RNA is filed under the name Elaeis guineensis (African oil palm). Its description in RNAcentral is "long non-coding RNA (EGUI_LNC046945)". Lineage: Eukaryota; Viridiplantae; Streptophyta; Magnoliopsida; Arecales; Arecaceae. The record is from RNAcentral.